RNAcentral lists this transfer RNA (83 nucleotides) under Chloroflexota bacterium. RNAcentral's name for it is "tRNA-Ser". It matches the Rfam family "tRNA". From Rfam's summary of the family: Transfer RNA (tRNA) molecules are approximately 80 nucleotides in length. Their secondary structure includes four short double-helical elements and three loops (D, anti-codon, and T loops). Further hydrogen bonds mediate the characteristic L-shaped molecular structure. tRNAs have two regions of fundamental functional importance: the anti-codon, which is responsible for specific mRNA codon recognition, and the 3' end, to which the tRNAs corresponding amino acid is attached (by aminoacyl-tRNA synthetases). tRNAs cope with the degeneracy of the genetic code in two manners: having more than one tRNA (with a specific anti-codon) for a particular amino acid; and 'wobble' base-pairing, i.e. permitting non-standard base-pairing at the 3rd anti-codon position. The record is from RNAcentral. Lineage: Bacteria; Bacillati; Chloroflexota.
GGAGGGGUGUCAGAGCGGUUUAUUGUGGUCGUCUUGAAAACGACUGGGCGCAAGCCCCGGGGGUUCGAAUCCCUCCCCCUCCG